This 1596-nucleotide small RNA is filed under the name Vigna angularis var. angularis. RNAcentral describes it as "Non-protein coding transcript". The record is from RNAcentral. Lineage: Eukaryota; Viridiplantae; Streptophyta; Magnoliopsida; Fabales; Fabaceae.
GUCAAAUUUGUAUUUUAAAUUGUGUAAUUUGAAAAAUUAAUUUCAAGUUUUAGAUUAUACAGUUAAGAAAAAGACACUCAAUUUACAUACUUUUACAAAUUAUUCAAUUCAUAAUACUUUUAGAUUAUACAGUAAGAAAAACUCUAAAAUUAGAAACUCAGUUAUGGAAGAGUAGCACCAGAAGAAGGAAGGCAAAAUGAAACUAUUGAAGCUUAAUACAUAUAUGAAUAAAGGGCAAAAUGAAGAAUUUUUAAAAUAUAAAUCAAGCUUAAUCACAGAUUAUGACAUAAAUAAUUAUGAUAACUAGGAUAUUUUUCGCUAUUCUCUCCAAACAAACCUAUUAGAUCAUAUUAUUUUGGGAAAUGAUACUUUAACAAUAGGUUUUGACAACAUUUUGACACGGGAUAGGUGUCAAAAUGUUAGUGGUCCACGUGGAUAAUUAAUUGAAAAUGUUAAAUGACGUGGAAAAGGAGUGCAGAAGGGGUUUCAAGUUUGCCGCUUUCAAUUUCACUUUUCAGAAUUUGAAAUUGGGAGAUUCGUAGAGAGAGAAGAGAAGCUUGAGAGAGAGAGUCGAACCCUAGAUAGAGAGGUCCGAUGGAGAGUCAUUGGAGUGCCGUCGUUCGGUAGGCUUACGGACAACGUUGAACACUGUCGUAUUUCUUCCACCCAGCCAGCCAGUUCCAAUUAAGGGUCGCCGCAGCUCCGGCGUUUGCAGACGAAACGAAGACGACAUCGUCUUCCCUCCGACCCAGCCAACUAAGGGCGCGUUUUGAGUCUCGAUUCCUCCCACCCGCUUCCUUCCCUGUGUCGGACCCUUGCGGUGGCCGCCGGAGCAUCGCCGGAGUGUCGUCAGACCCUUUCAAGGUAUGGUUUAGUGUGGGUUGAAGUUGUGUAGAAGAUUUAGUGGUUGAUGGCGUUUUUGGGUGGAAAGUAUGAAGUUUUUUUCUAAUUUUUUUGACCAUUUACUGGUUUAGUUCUUUUGACACAAUUAUUAUGUCAUUUAUAUACAAUUCCAUGUCCAAGGAACCAUUUUUUGUAAAACUCAUGGUGCAGAAACUGCAGUGGUAGCAAAGACAAAAUAAGUGAACUGUAGUGGUAGCAAAGACAAAAUAAGUGAGGACUUCAGGCAAAUGUUUUGCACAAUUAGGUCAACUACGUUGCAGGUACAACACUUGCACACUCCAAGCCAACCAAACUUUAUGAUUGUGGAGUUAUUGUUUUGGGAUUUAUGGAGUUGUGGGACGUCGCUGAGGAAUACCAAAGCAACACAAUGCCCACCUACAGAACUGUAAGGUAUUAAAGUUUUCAUUUUUGGGAGCUUUGAUAGAAGAUGUUGCAUUUUAUUGAUAUAUUGUGCAUUUAUCUCUUUGCAGGAGGAACUGCAACAAGUUAGGGAGAAAUAUGUUUGUGAUUGGAUCUUGGAUGUGGACAAUGUGUGGAGGGAUGAAGUGUUGCAAGAUUUAGACCUUAUGUAGAUGUUGUUGAAUAGGGAUUUUUGCAAUUUGAUUGAUGUUUUGUUUACAACCUUUUGAAUAUGUAUUGAUGAGGUCUGAAUGUACAUAUUUUUUGCUAGAAAUGUUCAAAGAAAUGUAUUGG